This 254-nucleotide ribosomal RNA is filed under the name uncultured bacterium. RNAcentral describes it as "partial 16S ribosomal RNA". It matches the Rfam family "Bacterial small subunit ribosomal RNA", at positions 524 to 776 of the family's 1533-position model. The record is from RNAcentral.
UACGUAGGGUCCGAGCGUUGUCCGGAUUUAUUGGGCGUAAAGAGCUCGUAGGCGGUUCAGUAAGUCAGAUGUGAAAACUCAGGGCUCAACCCGGAGACGCCAUCUGAUACUGCUGUGACUUGAGUCUGGUAGGGGAUCACGGAAUUCCUGGUGUAGCGGUGAAAUGCGCAGAUAUCAGGAGGAACACCGAUGGCGAAGGCAGUGAUCUGGGCCAGUACUGACGCUGAGGAGCGAAAGCGUGGGUAGCAAACAGG